Molecule: transfer RNA, 74 nt
Filed under: Pirellulaceae bacterium
Lineage: Bacteria; Pseudomonadati; Planctomycetota; Planctomycetia; Pirellulales; Pirellulaceae
Rfam family: tRNA
About the family: Transfer RNA (tRNA) molecules are approximately 80 nucleotides in length. Their secondary structure includes four short double-helical elements and three loops (D, anti-codon, and T loops). Further hydrogen bonds mediate the characteristic L-shaped molecular structure. tRNAs have two regions of fundamental functional importance: the anti-codon, which is responsible for specific mRNA codon recognition, and the 3' end, to which the tRNAs corresponding amino acid is attached (by aminoacyl-tRNA synthetases). tRNAs cope with the degeneracy of the genetic code in two manners: having more than one tRNA (with a specific anti-codon) for a particular amino acid; and 'wobble' base-pairing, i.e. permitting non-standard base-pairing at the 3rd anti-codon position.
Source: Rfam by way of RNAcentral
GCCAGCAUAGCUUCAAUUGGCAGAGCACCGCUUUCGUAAAGCGGGGGUUGUGGGUUCGACUCCCACUGCUGGCU